CACUAACAUGGAGUUUGGCUGUUGCUUACAGAUUUUGUAAUGCAAUCAGAUUAGGAUUGGUGUCCCCUUCUUCCAAACUGCUUCUAGUUCCCGUUAUCUUCCCGAUUGUUCUAAUUUUUAACCUGAUUUCUUCUGCUUCAUGUACCUUCAUUUCUCACUAUUCUCCCAACCAAUCAUCAGGUGCUCAGAAAGUCACAGAAGGUUCCUAUCGAUCUACUGACACCGGUUCUCAUCUUUGCUCUGCUUCUCUACAUGCUCCGUUGAUGAGUUCGUCAGCAUCUGCACACCUUCUCUCAGGAGGACGCGAUGGAAAACUGGUGUAUAGGCAGACAUCUCUACUUCUCUUUGUCGAUGAUUCUCACAAAAUCAGUCCCCUUUUCGCGUUUGAUGUUCUUCCCUCUAAUUUGAAAUUGACGAUGCUUCACAUAAGAUAUUCUUCUGCUACUAUCAGUGGUGUCCAAGACAGGCCUAAAAUUGGUCUACAAGUAGAAUUGAAGAUGUCUGUUUAUCUGAAGGAAGAAGGAAUCAAAAUUUUAGGGAAAUCGAAUAAAUUAUUCAACAUCAGCAAAUAGAGAGAACGAGGAAUUUGCCUUCAAUUGCCCUGAAACUAAAAACAUCUGUCAAGCAUACAUGCGAUGAUGAAGAACCUCAGAUGUUGGAUAAACAAAAGGAAUGGACAACGGAAGAACCACGGGUGGUUUAAUGUAAAUAGUUAUGCAUAAGACAAGUUAUUAAAAGCAUUAACUCAACCUCUAAUGUGUAAAAUGAUGAUAAUUCCCUUGGUGUUUGGAUCAGAUGUGGUAAGAAAUCAGUAAAAGUUACAAGUCUAUGUUGGUUAUAACAAAAUUGAAUGAUUUGAUUUGAGGGGAUUAAAGAGAAAGUAGGAAGAAUGUUCGCACAGAUGUGUGAAGAUUUUGUGAAUCCUUUCCAAAUAAAUAUGGAAGAGGAGGACUGCUGCUUCACAAUGAGUGGUUGAGUACUGGAUGUUUACCCAACACCUCUCCACAGAUGUUCAACAACCUAUGAUUUUUGUAGCUUACUACCAAGAUGUCACUGUUAUUUUGGAUAAGGUAUAUCUUUAGGAUGUUAAAAAAACUAGCAAGAUUGGACCCACAAAUGUUUGAAGAUUGGCAAAUAAAUUGGAAGAGGCAAGAUAUAAGGAGGCUCUCAAUGAGGAAAUUUUAAACUGGGUAUGCUAUAGAAACCAUGUUUGACGGAAGCAAACAAAGGAUUGAACAUUAGUUUGUGGAGGUAAGUCAAACCUCAUGUACUGUUCUUUUACUUACUUUAGUUGUAUUUAUGAAAUUUACAGUUUGAUUAACACUUUUUUGUAUUUCAUUUUGGUUGAGGAGUGAUGGAAUAAGUAUUUUUGCAUAAACAAUGUUGUAGUUUGGGGAUUAUAAAUGCAACAUCUGUUUUUUUUUCUUUCGAGUAUAUGAACUGUUUCAACAAAAUGACCAUUUUACCCCUUUUUUCAUCUAUGUUUCCUUAAUAUUUCAUCGAAUUCAUGUAAUCUUGAUUUCUGUAAUUGUGAAGGAUAGAAGAAAAAGAAUAACACUAAAGGCGUAAAAUCCAACUUUUGGACUUAUAUACCAUUUUGUUGAAUAGCUAUAACAGAGCCAAACAAAAGUAUAUUUUGUAAUCUUAAUUAUACAUUAUUAAAUGAAUUGUAAUAUAAACGGUGAUACAUGACAUUUUAUUCAAACUUUUGUUUAUUUUAUACAUACAUGUUUGAAAAAACAUUCCUCUGCUCCCAUGCAAUGCGGUGUUGUUUUUUUUUCAGGUAAAAGUGGUUGUAGCAUCAACCUAAGUUUUUGAAUCAUGGUAAGACAAAAAUAGAAGUUCAGACCAAAAUAACCCUAUAAAUGGAUGAUUUGGUAUCACUGACAACUCAAUUUCUAUUUAGAUAUUUCUAAAAGUCUUACCAUUUACAAUAGUGAAAACCGCUUGCAUAACAUUGCUACACUUAGAUAGAGUUUUGAAAGUACACUGCUAUAACCAUAAUAGAAAAAACUUAAAGUAGGACGCUAUAAUAAAAAAUCAAUAAAAGGAGGCUGCUAUUUUGCACCUUUUGAUUUUAUACUAGUACUGCUUAUUUUUGAAUUUAUUAUCAAAUUAUGCAUGCAGAAAUUGGUAAGAAAUCCAAUUUGUUUCAUAAAGUUGUAAAAGGUGCCACUCUAAUUUUUUUAGAAAGACAAUUACAUUCAUAAGUCAUAACACUAACUGAAUAUCAUAAACUUUAUAAUACUACCAUAUGCAGUUAAGAUAAUGGAAUGGCUAAUUAAUAUUACGACCAAAAGUAAUAACCUCCAUGUAAGCUCAUUAAAAUCUCCAAGACGGACAACUACACUGCAACAUACACCGGUGAGAAUUUAAACUUUCUACCCUCACUAUUUAUAGACAAAAUGCAAGCUUUUCUAUUUUUUUUUUUUUUUGCCUUAUUGACUGUAAAAGUCAAAUCUGUCCCUAACUCCGGAACAUAUUACUAGCAUUUAUGAAGGCCCUCCGCCAACCUACAGUGCAAAACUUUUUGAUUUUUGGUAGGCUAAAGAUGGACCGAUUGAGGUUAGAAGGCAUGUGUCUACACGUUAUGGGUACCCAAGGUUAUUUCGGCGAUGUAUUGACAAAAAUCGUUCAUUUGUAAGGGUGCCAGUUGGGUAUCUUCAACAUCUUCAUGUAUUUAGCAUAUAUCUAUCUAUAUUAAGUGCUUUAUAUGUUAAGCUCAUUAACUUAAAAACAAAAGAUUCAUUUGUUUUUGUAUAUGUAUUUAUGGAAUUUUUCAUGAUAUGUAAUUUUUUCCAUUAUUUGUAGUAUA
Molecule: non-coding RNA, 2815 nt
Organism: Lactuca sativa (garden lettuce)
Lineage: Eukaryota; Viridiplantae; Streptophyta; Magnoliopsida; Asterales; Asteraceae
Source: RefSeq, a predicted model, not a curated record